CUGAAAGUAAAUUGUCAUGUACCUAAUGCAAAAAAAUAAAAAGAAGUAAAAACAAAAAGAAUCAUGGACUGUAUGGACCGCAUGGUCAUGAUUCAAACACAGCGUACACCGCACUCCACACGAUCCCUACCCCCACUCUCCUAACCGAGUAACCGUUGACUCGUCUGGAGUACGACUUGUUCUCCAACGACUCUCUUCAUCUUCCUUGAAAAAUCCUUCGCACAACCCUUUAAUGGCGGCUUCCUAAUCAAUCCCUAAUUUUCCAUUCUCUCUCUCUCAUUUUCUUCCAAAAUGAACUCUACCCUUCAAUCUGUUCUUGCCGCCGCUGCUAGUUUCUUCUUCAUCUCUGCUUUCUUUGCUUUCAUCUGCCUCAUCUGCAAAUCCUCCAAAAAUCGCACGCGUCGCUACAACCUCCACCAUCCCCAACACCAAACACUCGGAUUGAACGGUAUCCGAACUGUGCCCAAUCCUCACCUCUCUUCCAUAACCAUCGAUGAAAGUGCCACUUUUGACCCCAGUUUGAACCGGGUCUCCAUGGAUGAGCUAAAAAUCGCUACCAAGAAUUUCUCCGCUGACUUGAUUGUCGGCGACGGCAGUUUCGGGUUCGUAUAUAAAGCCAGUCUCUCCGACGGCGUCACCGUGGCCAUCAAGAAGCUCGACCCCAACGCCUUUCAAGGUUUUCGGGAGUUCCGAGCAGAGAUGGAAACCUUAGGUAAGCUACAACACCCAAAUAUUGUGAGAAUUCUUGGGUACUGCGUGUCCGGGCUCGAUAGGGUGUUAAUUUACGAGUUCAUUGAGAAAGGCAACCUGGACCAAUGGCUGCACUACUCGUCGCCGGGGAGCGAACAGUUAGCGAAUUUACCGUUAUCUUGGGAGACGAGGAUUAAGGUAGUGAGAGGCAUAGCAAAUGGGCUUGCAUAUCUGCACCAGUUGGAGACUCCAAUUAUACACAGAGAUAUCAAGGCCAGUAAUGUCUUAUUGGACUCGGAAUUCGAAGCCCAUAUUGCCGAUUUUGGGUUGGCACGGGCGAUCGACGGACCACAUUCGCAUGUGUCAACGCAGGUGGCCGGAACAAUGGGGUACAUGCCACCGGAGUACAAAGAGGGAGUGACAGCGGCUACGGUGAAAGCAGAUGUUUAUAGUUUUGGAAUAUUAAUGAUCGAAAUCGCGACAGGUGAAAGGCCUAAUUUGCCAAUGGUUUUAGAGGGGAAGGAGGUGGGGUUGAUAGUAUGGGCAAGGAAAAUGUUGGAGCAAAAUAGGCAUAUGGAAAUGUUGGAUUCAAAAAUGGCAAAGGAAGGGUUAAGGGAAGAAAGAGUAAAGGAAUACUUUGGAAUUGCUUCAAUGUGUACUAGUGAAAUAAUGAUGGAUAGGCCACUUGCGAGUGAGGUUGUUCAUUUGUUGAAUGGGCUUGCCACAUGAGUGGGGGAUGUUGCUAUGCUAUUGCUAAUUGCUACAACUGAUGUAAAUAGCUCUUUGCAUAAGAAUGUAGGUAGAAAAAAAUAGUUGUUAGAAUUCUCAAGUGGUGAGCUCAAAAUUAUGCUUUGUUUCUUCAAGAUUGUUGUUUUUUACCAGGUGGUGUAUGAGUUUACUGAGAUUUCAAGAAUGUUUUUUUCAUCAUAAUGAGAAGAAGGUCCUAAAUGACCAUUUUAUAAAUUUGAUUGUACUGUUGUUGGUAAAUUUAUUGUUGCAG
This 1690-nucleotide unclassified non-coding RNA is filed under the name Hevea brasiliensis (rubber tree). Lineage: Eukaryota; Viridiplantae; Streptophyta; Magnoliopsida; Malpighiales; Euphorbiaceae. The record is from RNAcentral.